Molecule: ribosomal RNA, 187 nt
Filed under: uncultured bacterium
Lineage: Bacteria
Description: partial 16S ribosomal RNA
Rfam family: Bacterial small subunit ribosomal RNA
Source: RNAcentral
GCCUGCAUGAAGUUGGAAUUGCUAGUAAUCGCGAAUCAGAAUGUCGCGGUGAAUACGUUCCCGGGCCUUGUACACACCGCCCGUCACACCAUGAGAGUCGAUAACACCCGAAGCCUGUGAGCUAACCGUAAGGAGGCAGCAGUCGAAGGUGGGGUUGAUGAUUGGGGUGAAGUCGUAACAAGGUAAC